Molecule: ribosomal RNA, 1421 nt
Filed under: metagenome
Description: SSU rRNA
Rfam family: Eukaryotic small subunit ribosomal RNA
Source: RNAcentral
GUGGACUACCAUGGCAUUAACGGGUAACGGAGAAUUAGGGUUCGAUUCCGGAGAGGCAGCCUGAGAAACGGCUACCACAUCUAUGGAUGGCAGCAGGCGCGUAAAUUACCCAAUCCUAAUUCAGGGAGGUAGUGACAAGAAAUAACAGUAUCGGAUUUAAAAAUAGAAUCUGGUAAUUGUAAUGAGAACAAUUUAAAAAUCUUAACGAAUGCAACUGGAGGGCAAGUCUGGUGCCAGCAGCCGCGGUAACUCCAGCUCCAGUAGCGUAUAUUAAAGUUGUUGCAGUUAAGAAGCUCGUAGUUGGAUUUCUGAUCUACAGUAUCGGUAGUCUUCUUUAGAUUUAUCAUACUCGGGUCAUCCUCUUAAGACUGAUCUUUUGAUUGGUUUUGAGACUUUUACUUUGAAGAAAAUAGAGUGUUCAAAGCAGGCUUACGCUAUGAAUACAUUAGCAUGGAAUAAUAAGAUAGGACUUUAGUUUCUAUUUUGUUGGUCAUAAGGACUAAAGUAAUGAUUGAUAGGGACAGUUGGGGGUGCUAGUAUUAUUUGGCCAGAGGUGAAAUUCAGAAAUUCUUAUAAGACUAACUAAUGCGAAAGCAUUCACCAAGGAUGUCUUCUUUAAUCAAGAACGAAAGUUGGGGGAUCGAAGACGAUCAGAUACCGUCGUAGUCUCAACCAUAAACUAUGCCGACUAGGUAUUGGUAUACAUUGUUCACCGAGUAUAUCAGCACUUUAUGAGAGAUCAAAGUCUUUGGGUUCCGGGGGGAGUAUGGUCGCAAGACUGAAACUUAAAGGAAUUGACGGAAGGGCACCACCAGGAGUGGAGCCUGCGGCUCAAUUUGACCCAACACGGGAAAACUUACCAGGUCCAGACAUUUGGAGGAUUGACAGGUUGAAGAUCUUUCUUGAUUCUAUGAUUGGUGGUGCAUGGCCGUUCUUAGUUGGUGGAGUGAUUUGUCAGGUUAAUUCCGAUAACGAACGAGACCUCGACCUACUAAAUAGUUACAUUAAAUCUAUGAUUUGGUGUAUAAUUACUUCUUAGAGAGACUACGUUUUAAGACUGUAGAAGUUCGAGGCAAUAACAGGUCUGUGAUGCCCUUAGAUGUCCUGGGCUGCACGCGCGCUACAAUGAUAUGUUCAACAAGUUUUACCUUGACCGUUAGGUAUGGGGUAAUCUUUUAAAAGCAUAUCGUGCUGGGGAUAGAUUAUUGCAAUUAUUAAUCUUAAACGAGGAAUUCCUAGUAAACGCAAGUCAUCAACUUGCAUUGAUUACGUCCCUGCCCUUUGUACACACCGCCCGUCGCUACUACCGAUCGGAUGGUUUAGUGAGCUUCCUGGAUUAGGGAUUCCUGUACUUGUACAGUGUCCAUUAAGAAGGGAAUCGAACUUGAUCAUCUAGAGGAAGUAAAAGUCGUAACAAGGUU